Ailuropoda melanoleuca (giant panda) is the source of this 93-nucleotide small nucleolar RNA. Its record names the gene U3. It matches the Rfam family "Small nucleolar RNA U3". From Rfam's summary of the family: Small nucleolar RNAs (snoRNAs) are involved in the processing and modification of rRNA in the nucleolus. Lineage: Eukaryota; Metazoa; Chordata; Mammalia; Carnivora; Ursidae. The record is from Ensembl.
GAGACUAUACUUUCAGGGAUCAUUUCUAUAGUUUGUUACUAUAAACAUAGCAGAGGAACAGGCUUAGUCUGAUGAACACCAAGAGUGAAGACU